GUCUUUUUGAGUUAUUUUAAAAGUCUGACCUGCCCACUGAAUAUUUUUAAAUGGCCGCAGUAUUCUAACUGUGCAAAGGUAGCAUAAUCAUUAGUCUUUUAAUUGAAGGCUGGUAUGAACGGUUGGACGAAGUAUAAGCUGUUUCAUACAAAAUUAUAUUAGAAUUUUAUAUUUUAGUUAAAAAGCUAAAAUAUUAUUAAAAGACGAGAAGACCCUAUAAAUCUUUAUAAUUAAUAUUAUUCAAAUUUUUUUGAUUAAUUUUAUUUUUAUUAUAUUAAAUAUUUUGUUGGGGUGAUAUUAAAAUUUAAUAAACUUUUAAUUGAGAAUUAAAACAUUAAUUUAUGAAUAAUUGAUCCAUUAUUAAUGAUUAUAAGAUUAAGUUACUUUAGGGAUAACAGCGUAAUUUUUUUUGAGAGUUCAUAUCGACAAAAAAGUUUGCGACCUCGAUGUUGGAUUAAGAUAUAUAUUUAGGUGUAGCUGUUUAAAUAUUAAGUCUGUUCGACUUUUAAAUUCUUACAU
Molecule: ribosomal RNA, 519 nt
Filed under: Ceratitis flexuosa
Lineage: Eukaryota; Metazoa; Arthropoda; Insecta; Diptera; Tephritidae
Description: partial 16S ribosomal RNA
Rfam family: Bacterial large subunit ribosomal RNA (bases 391-519)
Source: RNAcentral